RNAcentral lists this ribosomal RNA (591 nucleotides) under uncultured bacterium. RNAcentral describes it as "bacterial SSU rRNA". It matches the Rfam family "Bacterial small subunit ribosomal RNA", at positions 334 to 917 of the family's 1533-position model. The record is from RNAcentral.
UACUCCUACGGGAGGCAGCAGUGGGGAAUAUUGGACAAUGGGCGAAAGCCUGAUCCAGCCAUGCCGCGUGUGUGAAGAAGGUCUUCGGAUUGUAAAGCACUUUAAGUUGGGAGGAAGGGCAGUAAGUUAAUACCUUGCUGUUUUGACGUUACCAACAGAAUAAGCACCGGCUAACUUCGUGCCAGCAGCCGCGGUAAUACGAAGGGUGCAAGCGUUAAUCGGAAUUACUGGGCGUAAAGCGCGCGUAGGUGGUUCAGCAAGUUGGAUGUGAAAUCCCCGGGCUCAACCUGGGAACUGCAUCCAAAACUACUGAGCUAGAGUACGGUAGAGGGUGGUGGAAUUUCCUGUGUAGCGGUGAAAUGCGUAGAUAUAGGAAGGAACACCAGUGGCGAAGGCGACCACCUGGACUGAUACUGACACUGAGGUGCGAAAGCGUGGGGAUCAAACAGGAUUAGAUACCCUGGUAGUCCACGCCGUAAACGAUGUCGACUAGCCGUUGGGAUCCUUGAGAUCUUAGUGGCGCAGCUAACGCGAUAAGUCGACCGCCUGGGGAGUACGGCCGCAAGGUUAAAACUCAAAUGAAUUGACGGA